UUUGGUCCUGAGUUUUCAAAGACCGAACUGACCGAAAAACCGAAAACCGAGACCGAAUUUUUCGGUAAAACCGAAUGCCCACCCCUACCUGUAAGAUGCCACCUCCUUCCACGAUCGUCGUUGCUGAGGCGCCAGCCAAUGCGGCCACCCUGCGCGUGCGCCGGCCAGCCGGCUCUUCGCCCACUGCCCGCCCCUUCCCUGCGUCGUCAACCGCGUCCUACUCCUACUAUGCCGCCGGGCGUGCCGCGGUGGUUGGCCCCACUGCUGGCCUCCGCUCGAGGCCGUGAAGGCCGCGCUUAUCGGUCGUGGCCAUGGCCAGCGGUGAAAUCCAGGAGAAACACACAACUUGGAAUUGCAGAAUUUGAUGCUGUCAUAUGAAACUCUUAUAUGGAUUAUUAAUCAGGAUAUGUAAGAUAUUGAAGAUGGAAAUUGCUACCGCCUACAAGGUGCUCGAAAUCAUGACCUCUGGCAUUUAAAAUGUGUGAAAGACUGUGGUUCUAAACUUUAUUUUUGUUUUCCGUGUAACUACAUUGUUGUGUUUAUUCAUUGUGCCAUAGCUAGAAGCUAGACCGGAACAACUAUGGUAGUAUCAGGCUUUUUUUUUAUCUUAGUGAAUUCAUGAAAAUAUAUUUAUCUAUAGUUCUAUCCAGUUUUCGAUGAUCGUUCUUCAAGGGUUUUUUUUAGCAGAAGUGCCAUGGAAGCUAAUUUAGCUAAACUUGUUGCAUAAGUUAAUAACACCAUUGAAUCUUUCAUUUGCCAACCUUUUAUAGACCUGAAUUUUGGAAACUAAUUAGAAAGUAGACACGAGCUAUAAUGAGCGCGCCACUUGGCGUGCUAAUUUUCUAGUGUAUGUUGGAUGUAGCGUUUGUUCUGAUAUGUAGUUGAUUUCUAUUGCCUUCAUCUGAGGAAAAUUCGUUCAAGCUGAUGCCUGAUAUAUGAUGAGCUGUAGGUGCUUUGAGAUGAUUUUGUAUGCGCCUUGUUAGCUUUCCUCGUGACAAUGCUUUAGGCUGUGUUUAGUUCUAGGGGUGUAAAAUUUUGGCAAGUCACAUCAGAUAUAUG
This is a non-coding RNA of Oryza sativa Japonica Group (Japanese rice), 1059 nucleotides long. The record is from RefSeq and is a predicted model, not a curated record. NCBI's taxonomy places the organism in Eukaryota, Viridiplantae, Streptophyta, Magnoliopsida, Poales, Poaceae.